This 218-nucleotide long non-coding RNA is filed under the name Chrysemys picta bellii (western painted turtle). Its description in RNAcentral is "lncRNA (ENSCPBG00000020843.1)". Lineage: Eukaryota; Metazoa; Chordata; Testudines; Emydidae. The record is from RNAcentral.
CAGCUGGCAUGAAGUCAGCCAAUCAUAAGACAGCAAAAGCUAUUUCAAGGGUAGCCUCAUUUGGCCUUACUUCUCUCUUUUCUUAUUGAUUUCUGGGGUCCAAGCAAUCCAGGGAAGGGAUCUGUGGCUGCCUCUCUUUGAGUCUUCCUUAGCAGAAAUGCAGGGUGUCCCAGGUGAAGCAAAUUCAGUGCAGUUCUCCUGUGUGAGAGAAGGAGGAA